RNAcentral lists this non-coding RNA (209 nucleotides) under Clostridium fallax. RNAcentral describes it as "T-box sequence". It matches the Rfam family "T-box leader". Rfam says of the family: Uncharged tRNA acts as the effector for transcription antitermination of genes in the T-box leader family. T-boxes are found upstream of many aminoacyl-tRNA synthetase genes and some amino acid biosynthetic genes usually in Gram-positive bacteria. The record is from RNAcentral. Lineage: Bacteria; Bacillati; Bacillota; Clostridia; Eubacteriales; Clostridiaceae.
AAAUAAACGAGGAAUGAGAGAGUAAAUAGAAAUUGCUGAUUUACAGGGAAAAAGAUCAUAGACUGAAAGUCUUUUAAUAAAGCGCUAUUGAAGUUCACUCAGGAGUUCUAACUGUGAAUUUAUAGUAGUAGUUAGCGGCAAAGCCGUUAUUUAUAUUAAGCGAACACUAAGUUAAUUAGGGUGGUACCGCGGUUUACCCCGUCCCUUCA